Non-coding RNA from Podarcis lilfordi (Lilford's wall lizard), 993 nucleotides. Lineage: Eukaryota; Metazoa; Chordata; Lepidosauria; Squamata; Lacertidae. The record is from the annotation of a GenBank genome assembly.
AAACAAAGCCAGCAAGGUUACUUCCACUCCUUCCCCACUCAGGAAUUAAUUCAGCUGCAAAAUAUGACCAUUUCAAAGAAGAUAUCAAAACCAGUGAAUAUCCGGCACACAGCUCACUUGAAUCCUGGUCUCUUUGACCCAAGACUCUUUCUACAGUGCCACGGUGGCACCAUGGAUUCGUCAAAUGAACACCCAAGCCAGUCACAACCCAGCGAAACAUUAUCUUGUAUUGCACCAGCAGCAGCGAAAACAUUUCUCAACAAGCAAACUGUUCAGAGAAGCUGUGAUCUCAAAAUAGUUCUUUGGGAUGGCAAUGCUAGAUACAGGCAAUUCUGUCCCUAAGUUCUUUAAAAGCAUCCAUGCCUCAUUAUUGAAAAGAAACUUUUAAAACCAUCCAACACGAGGAGGCAGGGAGACAGAGGCAAUGCCGACUCAGAUGGUAUAUUCCUAUUUCAGUCUCGCUUUCUCCCACACCCUCCUGCUUUUCUGCUUUCUCUUGCUGCCUGCGCGUAUCCACCUAACACUCCCCCUGCAGUAAGCUGCAGAAUGGGACACUCUUGUUCCAAAGCCAGCCGGCAGCUGUCACAUAGCGGAGGCAGCAAGCAGCCUGAGCAAAGAGUGAACCUACUCUGUCAUUUAGGAUGACUCACAGGGAAUUGGCAUUAAUCCCUCUCUUUCUUGUAGUGGACGGAGCACAGCCAAAAAGCUACACUGGACUAGAUCAAGGUAAGGCUGGAAGAUUGCUUCUCUCUUUCUCUCUUUCUAGAUAUAUUAAAGCAAUACACCUCUGAGGCUUUGAUGGAUGGCUGACACUGGUACUCUACACCUGGCAUGGCAUGUCACUAGUAAUUCCUUCCUGGUCUUAGCCUCUGGGGUGCUGUUCUAGAGCUGUAGUCCUUGAUCACAACAGACAGAUUGAAGCCAGCCACAUAGAUUGCUUUUCUUUCUCAAGUGCAACUUUUCUUAAUGAGGGCAUUGCUCCCAAGCUCCGGC